CACGUAGUUGGCCGUGGCUUUCUGAUUAGGUACCGUCAAGACGUGCACAGUUACUUACACAUUUGUUCUUCCCUAAUAACAGAGUUUUACGAUCCGAAGACCUUCAUCACUCACGCGGCGUUGCUCCGUCAGGCUUUCGCCCAUUGCGGAAGAUUCCCUACUGCUGCCUCCCGUAGGAGUCUGGACCGUGUCUCAGUUCCAGUGUGGCCGAUCACCCUCUCAGGUCGGCUACGUAUCGUUGCCUUGGUAAGCCAUUACCCCACCAACUAGCUAAUACGGCGCGGGUCCAUCUAUAAGUGAUAGCAAAACCAUCUUUCACUUUAGAACCAUGCGGUUCUAAAUAUUAUCCGGCAUUAGCCCCGGUUUCCCGGAGUUAUUCCAGUCUUAUAGGUAGGUUACCCACGUGUUACUCACCCGUCCGCCGCUAACGUCAAAGGAGCAAGCUCCUUAUCUGUUCGCUCGACUUGCAUGUAUUAGGCACGCCGCCAGCGUUCAUCCUGAGCCAGGAUCAAACUCU
RNAcentral lists this ribosomal RNA (517 nucleotides) under uncultured Staphylococcus sp. RNAcentral describes it as "partial 16S ribosomal RNA". Lineage: Bacteria; Bacillati; Bacillota; Bacilli; Caryophanales; Staphylococcaceae. The record is from RNAcentral.